RNAcentral lists this small RNA (81 nucleotides) under Sodalis sp. TME1. Its description in RNAcentral is "isrK Hfq binding RNA". It matches the Rfam family "isrK Hfq binding RNA". Lineage: Bacteria; Pseudomonadati; Pseudomonadota; Gammaproteobacteria; Enterobacterales; Bruguierivoracaceae. The record is from Rfam by way of RNAcentral.
GCAGCGGCAAAUUCCUCUGCCGGGUUUAGCAGCCUGCAACUUAUUCUUGGUGCUAGAACACGCACCCCAAGCGUGUUUUUU